GAUGAACGCUGACAGAAUGCUUAACACAUGCAAGUCGAUGGGGACGUGGUGCUUGCACCAGGGUGACCAUGGCGGACGGGUGAGAAACGCGUAAGGAACUGGCCCGCGGGACUGGGAUAACAGCUGGAAACUGCUGAUAUUAUCGGAGAAGGUCAUUAAGCUGCAUAGGUUAGAGAUGAAAGGAGACGCCUGUGGGGAGCCUUGCGUCGUAUUAGCUAGUUGGGGGGGGAACGGCCCACCAAGGCGGCGAUGGGUAGCCGGCCUGAGGGGGUGGGGGGCCACAGGGGAACUGAGAUACGGCCCUCACUCCUAGGGGGGGCGGCGGUGGGAAAUUUUGGACAGGGCGGAAGACUCUGAUCCAGCAAUUCUGUGUGCACGAAGACGGUUUUCGGAGUGUAAAGUGCUUUCAGCUGGGAAGAAGAAAGUGACGGUACCUGCAGAAGAAGCGACGGCUAAAUACGUG
This 463-nucleotide ribosomal RNA is filed under the name uncultured bacterium. Its description in RNAcentral is "partial 16S ribosomal RNA". It matches the Rfam family "Bacterial small subunit ribosomal RNA", at positions 28 to 507 of the family's 1533-position model. The record is from RNAcentral.